RNAcentral lists this ribosomal RNA (773 nucleotides) under Bychowskyella tchangi. RNAcentral's name for it is "SSU rRNA". It matches the Rfam family "Eukaryotic small subunit ribosomal RNA", at positions 438 to 1102 of the family's 1831-position model. The record is from RNAcentral. Lineage: Eukaryota; Metazoa; Platyhelminthes; Monogenea; Dactylogyridea; Ancylodiscoididae.
AAAUUACCCACUCUCUGAACGAGGAGGUAGUGAAGAUAAAUAUCGAUACAGAACUCAAUUGAGGCUCUGUAAUCGAAAUGAGUGAACCAUAAAUCCUACAACGAGGAUCUAUUGGAGGGCAAGUCUGGUGCCAGCAGCCGCGGUAACUCCAGCUCCAAUAGCGUAUAUUAAAGUUGCUGCAGUUAAAAAGCUCGUAGUUGGAUCUGGGCUAUGUUGUGAUUGUCGGUUGGGCUGUGACCUGUGCAAGCAGGGAGCGGUCGGCCGGUAUAUUCACGCAUGGCUUCGCAGCUGUGUCCACGUGUCUUCGGAUGUGUGGAUGGUGUUGGAUGUCAGCCUUGACUCCCUUAAUGGGGGGCCUGGGCGGUUCAGCAUCAUGUCCUGUCGAUGCCCUUCACCGGGUGUCCGGGACUCUCAGCACGUUUACUUUGAACAAAUUUGAGUGCUCAAAGCAGGCCGCUUGUUGCCUGAAAAUUCUUGCAUGGAAUAAUGAAAUAGGACUUUGGUCCUAUUUUGUUGGUUUGAUAGAACCGAAGUAAUGAUAAAGAGAGACAGACGGGGGCAUUUGUAUGGCGGCGCUAGAGGUGAAAUUCGUGGACCGUCGCCAGACAAACUAAAGCGAAAGCAUCUGCCAAGUAUGUUUUCAUUUACCAGGAGCGAAAGUCAGAGGUUCGAAGACGAUCAGAUACCGUCCUAGUUCUGACCAUAAACGAUGCCAACUGACGAUCCGUGGUAGUUCAUUCUAUGAGCCCACGGGCAGUCUCCGGGAAACCUGU